Molecule: RNA transcript, 2248 nt
Organism: Myxocyprinus asiaticus (Chinese sucker)
Lineage: Eukaryota; Metazoa; Chordata; Actinopteri; Cypriniformes; Catostomidae
Gene name: ras-related and estrogen-regulated growth inhibitor-like protein
Exons: 5
Source: RefSeq, a predicted model, not a curated record
CAGAAGUUUAUAGAAGAAAUUGAUGAAAUGGUUGUCCUGGUCAAACCGAGUCCUCAACUGAGCAGUAAAGCUAUGGAUGGAAACCAGCACAAAGUGGAAGCGAACGUUUUGCUUCUUGGAGCGGAAAAUGUUGGGAAGUCAGCGCUCACUGUGCGUUUUCUCACCAGGAGAUUCAUCGGGGAAUACGGGGAUAUUGAAUCAAUAUACAGUCACAUUGACAAAACUGAUGGGCGAGAGAUCUCCUUAAAUAUUUGGGACUCUCUGUAUCCACAGAGCUGCGAAACAACCGAAUCCAUCAGUGACAAACAGCUUCAGUGGGCGGAUGGUGUGAUCCUUGUGUACAGCAUCUGUGAUCGCUCCAGCUUCGAAGUGGUGCGGCAACAGGUGCAGCUCAUCCGCCAGACCAGAAAGCUCUCCACGUCUGCUCCAAUCAUAAUCGUGGGGAAUAAGCGAGACCUGCAGCAUCAAAGAGCCGUGUCGAGCGAGGAGGGCAGACUGUUCGCCCUCUCCGCAGACUGCGGCUUCUUCGAGAUCUCCGCAGCUGAAACCUACCACGGCGUGCUGCUGGUCUUUCACGAAAUUCUGGACCUCAUCAGGGAGUCCAGAGCACUGAAAAAAGGCAUGGCUGGAAUCAAGGGCAUAGUCAGGAGCGUGUCCGCAGUUUUUGGGAAGAAAUGGGAGUAGAGAACUGAGAUGCCAUGCUGAGUUGAUAAUGAUGAUAUUAGUGCUGAUCAAAUCGCUCAUGGCAGAAGAGCAACUAAUAGUUCAGAAGACAACUUGGACUGACGUGGUCUGGGGACUGACACAAAGGGUUGCUUUUGUCUAAUAAACCUAAAUGAAGGGUAAAAAGAAUAAUGUUGAUAGCAGGUUAAAAUUUCAGGGCCCAGCCUUAUAGAGAAGAAAAGUCGUUUAAGUUUGUUUCAGCAAGGCAAUGAGGGGACUGCUGAAGAUAAGUGAUCCUGGGCCUUGAUGCAAGUCGGUUAGUGAAUGUGCAAUAAAUGAAAAGAGAGACGGUCCAGCUGUAGUCCUUGUAAUUUCUGAAAGAAUGAUCCUUCAGCCCUGAACAGAUAAGAUAGAGCUGAAUUCAAGUGAGCUUCUGCUCCAGAUCUAAGAUACUUUAAGUAGAGGAAUGGACUUUCUCCUUUUAUUGUCCGCCUCUGAAGAGUACCAUCUGACAGUGAGAAGUUAUUGAGAGUAACUAAAUGUAGUAAAAUGUAUAUAGAAAUUGUAUGUAUAUAUUGUAAUUUCCAGAACAUUUUUUUUUUUUUUCUUUCUAGUUUCUGAGGUUGGUGGUAGUACAGUUGAAUAACUGGUGAUAACAGGCUGUUAUCAGACUUCAUGUUCAUGAAUACGUACAGUACAAAGAGAAGAAAUUCCUUUUAUAGCGAUGAAUAUGCCUGGAUCUUUAACUUUUCUAUGAAAACAUGUUUAACUUGUAUAUUCGUCAAUGAUAGAUUUAGGAUUCAAUAAAGGAAAAUCAAAUACCUUUUGUUACACAAGUAUUGUGAUUUAAUAGCUAUUCUCUGCUCAAAUUAUCAAAACAACAUAAACAUUUUAUAAAAUGUUUUAUUACAUUUGUUUCAGGAAAAAGCACUAUAUGAGCUUAAGGCUGUGAGGAUUUGGGUGUAAACAAUAAAUCAUGUCAAACUUAAGCACCUAAAUAGUAAGAAUUCACCUAUACAUGUUGCACCAGAUCAAAAGUGCAGUUUAGAAUCUCACUGAAAUCAAGUCACUCUCGCCAAUCUUUUUCCAGUUCUAUUUUAAUUCCAAUAUUCUGUUCAGAUCAGUUAUAUGACACCUGUACUUUACACUAAAAAAACCAAAAAAUUUUAGCCUAAUUUUAAGAUUUACGCAUUUAAAUUUCAUAACAAAAUUCCAUCACAAUUCCAAAAUUGGAAUUUUAUGAAGUGUCUUUCUUUCAGUGACAUUGAUGCAGUUCACUUUGUUUUCCACUCUGUAACUUACAUGGACUAUCCUCUCUUUCAGUCGUGUGUAAAAAAAAUAUAUGCAUGCUGGAGUUUUAUUAGGUGAAGCUUUUAAAGUAAGCCAAGGAAUAGAAAUAUAUUGAUAUGUAAUAUGCUAAUAUUUGUAGAGUCAUAUAUAUACAGACUUUAUGCUCUCUCAUUUCAGCUUGUUGUCUCAAGUACAUUUAAAGUUACAAAACAACCCCCCACCCCCUGCAAUCAUUCCAGAUCUCACUUAAACUGUAUCAGACAGAAGCAUAUUAAAGCAGCUGUGACAAAAUAAU